CCUACGGGUGGCAGCAGUGAGGAAUAUUGGUCAAUGGACGGAAGUCUGAACCAGCCAUGCCGCGUGCAGGAAGACGGCUCUAUGAGUUGUAAACUGCUUUUGUACAAGGGUAAACCUGAAUACGUGUAUUCAGCUGAAAGUACUGUACGAAUAAGGAUCGGCUAACUUCGUGCCAGCAGCCGCGGUAAUACGGCGGAUCCACGCGUUAUCCGGAUUUAUUGGGUGUAAAGGGUGCGUAGGCGGAUUGAUAAGUUAGAGGUGAAAUGUCCGGGCUUAACUCGGGAACUGCAUCUAAGACUGUAGACCUAGAGAGCAGAUGCGGUAGGCGGAAUGUAUGGUGUAGCGGUGAAAUGCUUAGAGAUCAGACAGAACACCGAUUGCGAAGGCAGCUUACCA
RNAcentral lists this ribosomal RNA (396 nucleotides) under uncultured bacterium. RNAcentral describes it as "partial 16S ribosomal RNA". It matches the Rfam family "Bacterial small subunit ribosomal RNA", at positions 338 to 731 of the family's 1533-position model. The record is from RNAcentral.